GAUGAACGCUGGCGGCGUGCCUAACACACGCAAGUCGAACGAAGCACCUUACCUGAUUCUUCGGAUGAAAGUUUGGUGACUGAGUGGCGGACGGGUGAGUAACGCGUGGGUAACCUGCCCUGUACAGGGGGAUAACAGCUGGAAACGGCUGCUAAUACCGCAUAAGCGCACGAGGAGACAUCUCCUUGUGUGAAAAACUCCGGUGGUACAGGAUGGGCCCGCGUCUGAUUAGCUGGUUGGCAGGGUAACGGCCUACCAAGGCAACGAUCAGUAGCCGGUAUGAGAGGAUGAACGGCCACAUUGGAACUGAGACACGGUCCAAACUCCUACGGGAGGCAGCAGUGGGGAAUAUUGCACAAUGGGGGAAACCCUGAUGCAGCAACGCCGCGUGAGUGAAGAAGUAUUUCGGUAUGUAAAGCUCUAUCAGCAGGGAAGAUAAUGACGGUACCUGACUAAGAAGCUCCGGCUAAAUACGUG
RNAcentral lists this ribosomal RNA (477 nucleotides) under uncultured bacterium. RNAcentral describes it as "partial 16S ribosomal RNA". It matches the Rfam family "Bacterial small subunit ribosomal RNA", at positions 28 to 507 of the family's 1533-position model. The record is from RNAcentral.